This is a long non-coding RNA of Stomoxys calcitrans (stable fly), 690 nucleotides long. RefSeq lists it as uncharacterized. The transcript has 3 exons. The record is from RefSeq and is a predicted model, not a curated record. NCBI's taxonomy places the organism in Eukaryota, Metazoa, Arthropoda, Insecta, Diptera, Muscidae.
GUUGACGAAAAGCCUUAUACUGGGCUAUUCACCUGCUUCUAAGCAACAUGAAAAGAUAUUUGGUUGUAUUUAUAAAUCUAGAACAAAUUAUCCCUAUGCUUGGUAGAGUAGACGAGAAUGAUAUGGAACAUGAACCAUUAUGCCAGAGUGUAGUGGAUAAUCGGCCAUUACAACACGACUUUAGAAAAAAGGAAAUUGCUUGCAAAUAGGUGUGAAUAAAUUCUCGGAUAAUAUCGUUAUCUCUGCCAUAAAGCUCAUAUGGGAUGGAUACUUUAAGUAAAUGCUGAUGCUCCAUAUUUCUGCUGCCGAGGGGUAGCAAAUAAAUCUUCCGUACGUAGUCAGGGAAAUGGUAAACAAUUGGGUCGCUGCUUGUUCAUUGGGGUUAGAUGUCAGAAUGAGAUAUUUAUUAGGUCGAUUAACAACCGCAAGACUUAAUGCCUUCAAAACAUUUACACUAACGAGCAUUGUUUGGCGUUCAUAAAUUUUAAACUGAUGGAUUGAAGAUGAAAUGCUGGUGUUUUAUGUCUUUAUAAUGAUGAAUGUAGAAAUAUAAAUACCCACUAAUAUUGUAAAAAUGGAAAGAAGAGGAAAAUAUGGGUUAAAUUCGACCGGGAACAAUUGUUUGGCAAUUUAUUUUAUACAUACAAUUGAAGGUCAUAAAGAGGACCCAAGGCAAACAUUUUUGUUAAA